UUCCUCGUCUUAAUUAGAACUCAUACUAGACAAACUAGUGGAUCCUUAUCUAAUCCUCUAGUAUGAGUUCUAAUUAAGAGGUGGAAA
RNAcentral lists this microRNA precursor (87 nucleotides) under Populus trichocarpa (black cottonwood). Its description in RNAcentral is "miR7833 stem-loop (ptc-MIR7833)". The record is from miRBase by way of RNAcentral. Lineage: Eukaryota; Viridiplantae; Streptophyta; Magnoliopsida; Malpighiales; Salicaceae.